GGGGCUGUAGCUCAGUUGGCUAGAGCGCCUGCCUUGCAAGCAGGAGGUCAGGAGUUCGACUCUCCUCAGCUCCACCA
RNAcentral lists this transfer RNA (77 nucleotides) under Streptococcus salivarius. RNAcentral describes it as "tRNA-Ala". It matches the Rfam family "tRNA". Rfam says of the family: Transfer RNA (tRNA) molecules are approximately 80 nucleotides in length. Their secondary structure includes four short double-helical elements and three loops (D, anti-codon, and T loops). Lineage: Bacteria; Bacillati; Bacillota; Bacilli; Lactobacillales; Streptococcaceae. RNAcentral also lists the same sequence under 7 other names. The record is from RNAcentral.